UACGGGAGGCAGCAGUGGGGAAUAUUGCGCAAUGGGGGCAACCCUGACGCAGCCAUGCCGCGUGAAUGAAGAAGGCCUUCGGGUUGUAAAGUUCUUUCGGUAGCGAGGAAGGCAUUUAGUUUAAUAGACUAGAUGAUUGACGUUAACUACAGAAGAAGCACCGGCUAACUCCGUGCCAGCAGCCGCGGUAAU
Molecule: ribosomal RNA, 192 nt
Filed under: uncultured Haemophilus sp.
Lineage: Bacteria; Pseudomonadati; Pseudomonadota; Gammaproteobacteria; Pasteurellales; Pasteurellaceae
Description: partial 16S ribosomal RNA
Rfam family: Bacterial small subunit ribosomal RNA
Source: RNAcentral